UGGCACCAACCUGAUGUUUUGAGGCUGU
This 28-nucleotide non-coding RNA is filed under the name Mus musculus (house mouse). The record is from RNAcentral. Lineage: Eukaryota; Metazoa; Chordata; Mammalia; Rodentia; Muridae.